AGAGUAUAAUCGCAAGAUUGAAAUUCAAAGGAAUUGACGGGAGUCUACACAAGCGGUGGAGCAUGUGGUUUAAUUCGAUAAUACGCGCAGAACCUUACCAAUUCUUGUAAAUAUUUUUAAAAAAUUAUUUUAAAAAGUACAGGCGUUGCAUGGCUGUCGUCAGCUCGUGUUGUGAGAUGUUUGGUUUAUUCCCUUAACGAGCGAAACCCCUAUUUUUAGUUGCUAAUUUAUAUAAAAGAUCAGACACUUUUUAUAAAUGCACUUUAAAAAACGUUAAUGACAUAUUAACAGAGAUGGGGAUUACGUCAAGUCUUCAUGGCCCUUAUGAAUUGGGCUACACACGUGCUACAAUGAUAAAUACAAUGAGAGGCAAUAAUAAUAAAAAAUUGGAGCAAAUCUUUAAAAUUUAUCUUAGUUCGGAUUAUGGGCUGCAACUCGCCCAUAUAAAGUUGGAAUCGCUAGUAAUCGCAAAACAG
Molecule: ribosomal RNA, 476 nt
Filed under: Saprolegnia sp.
Lineage: Eukaryota; Oomycota; Saprolegniomycetes; Saprolegniales; Saprolegniaceae
Description: partial small subunit ribosomal RNA
Rfam family: Bacterial small subunit ribosomal RNA
Source: RNAcentral